RNAcentral lists this transfer RNA (75 nucleotides) under Verrucomicrobiaceae bacterium. RNAcentral describes it as "tRNA-Leu". It matches the Rfam family "tRNA". From Rfam's summary of the family: Transfer RNA (tRNA) molecules are approximately 80 nucleotides in length. Their secondary structure includes four short double-helical elements and three loops (D, anti-codon, and T loops). Further hydrogen bonds mediate the characteristic L-shaped molecular structure. tRNAs have two regions of fundamental functional importance: the anti-codon, which is responsible for specific mRNA codon recognition, and the 3' end, to which the tRNAs corresponding amino acid is attached (by aminoacyl-tRNA synthetases). tRNAs cope with the degeneracy of the genetic code in two manners: having more than one tRNA (with a specific anti-codon) for a particular amino acid; and 'wobble' base-pairing, i.e. permitting non-standard base-pairing at the 3rd anti-codon position. The record is from RNAcentral. Lineage: Bacteria; Pseudomonadati; Verrucomicrobiota; Verrucomicrobiia; Verrucomicrobiales; Verrucomicrobiaceae.
GCCCCUGUAGUCCAAUGCAGAGACACUCGCCUCAGAAGCGAGCCAGUGUGGGUGCGAGUCCCACUGAGGGCACCA